CUUGAUCGAACCGAGCCACAGCGGCCGCUCGCGGUCCCGGCCGUACGCGGCGAUCAGCGCCUGCGCCUC
This 69-nucleotide antisense RNA is filed under the name Amycolatopsis australiensis. RNAcentral describes it as "ASpks TB sRNA". It matches the Rfam family "ASpks TB sRNA". The record is from RNAcentral. Lineage: Bacteria; Bacillati; Actinomycetota; Actinomycetes; Pseudonocardiales; Pseudonocardiaceae.